Molecule: ribosomal RNA, 273 nt
Filed under: Eimeria acervulina
Lineage: Eukaryota; Apicomplexa; Conoidasida; Eucoccidiorida; Eimeriidae
Description: partial small subunit ribosomal RNA
Rfam family: Eukaryotic small subunit ribosomal RNA
Source: RNAcentral
UGCCUGCUAAAUCGGGUCGGUACUUCGGUUAUCGUAUCUCUUCUUAGAGGGACUUUGCGUGUCUAACGCAAGGAAGUUUGAGGCAAUAACAGGUCUGUAAUGCCCUUAGAUGUUCUGGGCGGCACGCGCGCUACACUGAUGCAUGCAACGAGUUUUUACCUUGACCGACGGGGCUAGGGUAAUCUUCUGAGGGUGCAUCGUGAUGGGGCUAGAUUAUUGCAAUUAUUAGUCUUCAACGGGAAUGCCUAGUAGGCGCAAGUCAGCCAGGCGCGG